RNAcentral lists this ribosomal RNA (371 nucleotides) under uncultured prokaryote. RNAcentral describes it as "bacterial SSU rRNA". It matches the Rfam family "Bacterial small subunit ribosomal RNA", at positions 524 to 896 of the family's 1533-position model. The record is from RNAcentral.
UACGGAGGGUGCAAGCGUUAUCCGGAAUCACUGGGUUUAAAGGGUGCGUAGGCGGCCUUGUAAGUCAGUCGUGAAAUCGCUGGGCUCAACCCAUGCAAUUGCGAUUGAUACUGCGAGACUUGAAUGGGGUUAAGGCAGGCGGAAUGUGGCAUGUAGCGGUGAAAUGCAUAGAUAUGCCAUAGAACACCGAUUGCGAAGGCAGCCUGCUGGGCCUUUAUUGACGCUGAGGCACGAAAGCGUGGGGAGCAAACAGGAUUAGAUACCCUGGUAGUCCACGCCCUAAACGAUGUUUACUUGCUGUUUGCCCUUUGGGGUGAGUGGCGUAGCGAAAGCGAUAAGUAAACCACCUGGGGAGUACGCCGGCAACGGUG